This 397-nucleotide ribosomal RNA is filed under the name uncultured bacterium. Its description in RNAcentral is "partial 16S ribosomal RNA". It matches the Rfam family "Bacterial small subunit ribosomal RNA", at positions 523 to 918 of the family's 1533-position model. The record is from RNAcentral.
AUACGUAGGGGGCGAGCGUUGUCCGGAAUGACUGGGCGUAAAGGGCGUGUAGGCGGCCGAUUAAGUCUGGAGUGAAAGUCCUGCUUUCAAGGUGGGAAUUGCUUUGGAGACUGGUUGGCUUGAGUGCGGAAGAGGUAAGUGGAAUUCCCAGUGUAGCGGUGAAAUGCGUAGAGAUUGGGAGGAACACCAGUGGCGAAGGCGACUUACUGGGCCGUAACUGACGCUGAGGCGCGAAAGUGUGGGGAGCAAACAGGAUUAGAUACCCUGGUAGUCCACACUGUAAACGAUGAAUGCUAGGUGUAAGAGGUAUCGACCCCUUUUGUGCCGGAGUCAACACAAUAAGCAUUCCGCCUGGGGAGUACGGCCGCAAGGUUGAAACUCAAAGGAAUUGACGGGG